Octopus sinensis (East Asian common octopus) is the source of this 91-nucleotide long non-coding RNA. RefSeq lists it as uncharacterized. NCBI's taxonomy places the organism in Eukaryota, Metazoa, Mollusca, Cephalopoda, Octopoda, Octopodidae. The transcript has 3 exons. The record is from RefSeq and is a predicted model, not a curated record.
GUGAUGAUGGUGGUGAUGUGUUCAUAGAAAUUGCCUGACAGCUGUGACUGGAUUCUCCUGCUUGUGUGGCAUGAUGCAGAGUCCUGUUGCC